Ictalurus furcatus (blue catfish) is the source of this 5070-nucleotide long non-coding RNA. RefSeq lists it as uncharacterized. The record is from RefSeq and is a predicted model, not a curated record. NCBI's taxonomy places the organism in Eukaryota, Metazoa, Chordata, Actinopteri, Siluriformes, Ictaluridae. The transcript has 3 exons.
CCAGCUAGGCUCUGUUACAGUUACACCUCUAGGUUAGUGUCUCUGCACGUUCUUUUGACACUUGCACCUGAGUAUAGGAGGCUGCGUUAUCCACUUGAGAGCUGUGCGUGAAUCCACUGUCACGGAGCUAAAGGCAGAGAAUUCUGCUAAAAUGGUCAGGUUUUGGUAAAGAGUUGGAAACAUCGCGCGGAGAUCCUUUCCACGGAAUGAUACAGAUCCCCACGUUCCAGGCGUUCUUCCAGAGAUUCGUAGAUUCCCAGUCUGGGUGGCGAGCCAAACGUGUUUGUGACUGACUUUAGACGGGUUGCCAGGAUCAUCAUCUUCAUCUUCAUGGUGGUAGGACAAACACUAAUACGAACUAAAAAGGGCCCAACGUUGGUAACUGAACUCUUGUCAACAAAGGCAAGUGAAACUGAGGACGAACUGAGCUCAAGGGAAUUUAAAAGGGGAUUUAUUUACGUGCGCACUUUAUUAUUUUAGUUUGUUAUUUUUUCAUAACUUUUUGUAUAUGUAUGUACCAGCCCUGUGUAUGUAAUACAUUUUAUGCAAACUGUCAUUCUGGUGUGGUAUUCUUUUUAUUGACCUUCAAUUCUCAGGCUCUUAACAAUUUAGCAUCUUCUGAUUCUGGUCCAAACUCAUAUUACUGAUAACCUCUAAGACUUCUUUAGACUACUACACCUAUGUACAUUCUUACUACUUCGUAAUAAGGGUUACAAAUGUAUCUCCCAGGACACCUUAAACCUCACACAAGUGGAGAGGUAUGCAAACCAUGCGCAGAAGCUCCUACGAGACGCAAAGGACAGAAAGACAGAGAAGAGGAGAAAAGACCUACACACAGCCACACUAACCAUGUUACAAGCUGUUAGCGUGCAGCCCCAGCGGACACAACAACCCGGAGGCAGAGGAAGAGGUGCGCCAUACAGAGGAAAGCCAAAGGGCCGUGGGCGAGGAAGACCCGGCCGCCACGGCUAUGGACCAGGAUUAAACUGUUACAACUGCGGAAAAGUUGGAUAUUUUGCAAGAGACUGUCCAGAGCAGAAGCGAACUGACGGGCGGAGUUAAGGGAAGGGUGAGGCACCUGGGAACAGAAGAGGUGACAUCAGACACUCAAACUUUCAGUUAGCUCACAAAGAACAGAAAUAUACGCACACACCCACAUCCAACAUUAGUCAGACUGACAAUUCACAAAUGUCUGAACCAGUCAUGACUCUUAACCUUUUAAAGUAUAAUGCCUCUCCUUUUACACAGUUACCAUGUAUAUCUCUUGUAGUUAAUGGGCAAAGUAUCACAUUUUUGGUAAGAUUCAGGAGCAACGUAUUCAGUAAUAAAACUAUCCCCGAAAACGAGUUCAGUCACUGCACUCCAUGGGUGCAACAGGACAUUCAGUAUUAGACCUAAUUUCGUCUUCAUGCCCAUUUAGUCUACUGGGCAGGGACUUAAUGUGUGUUUUACACUUAAAUUUUAUGUCCUCAACUCAGGGAGUAAUAAUAACUGAGGACUCAUCUUUGGGAACUCCAUUUGUUAAAGAAACAGAGCUCUGUGUUUAUCAAUGGUUCAUGCAUAACGAGCCUGUGCUCGUUUGUUGACGUUGGCUUAUGAUAAGAUGAAGGACAACUAUGUUGAUUUUAUGCUGUCCUCUGCCCUUCAUUGUGCUGUGCAAGUGCAUGAAGGAAGAGACUUUAAUUUUGAGAAAGAAUGGUUUAAGGAUAUCCCAGAAAGUGAAGAGCUGUACCUAUAUUGAUGUGACAAAUUUUGUGCACGUUCAGUCAAACUGAGUGACACACAGUUGCGUGCAUUUUUCAUCCCAGAAUCAGCGCCCCACGUCUCAUUAGCCAAAAUAAUGAACAAACAGUAGAAAGAUGUGGGACCGUGGGUCAGAUUAUUGGUUUUCAGUCAUAGAUUUAGCUAAUGCAUUUUUUCAGUACAUCUCUUGAUAAAGACAAUCAGUUUCGGUUUGCAUUCAUAUUUGACGGACAUCCUUACACUUUCACUCACUUGUGUUAGGGAUAUUGUGAGGCACUAAUGAUAUACAACCAAUUGCUAAAGGACAGCUUAGCACCUCUACCACUUUCUCAAGGGCGCAGUGUGAAACUGACACCAUUAAAUUGUUGCAGCAUCUUGCCAAAGAGGGACACAAAGCCAGUCUCUCCCAAUUAAAGUAUGUACAACAAGAAGUGAGAUUUCUGAGGCAUGACAUUUCUGCAAAGGGAAAGAAUCUCUCCACUGAAAGAGUAUCUGCAAUCCACACGUCACCGCACACGAGACGGUCUGCCAGGAAGUCUCCCCUCAAGCAUUUCAGCACAAGCAGCAGAACUGUAUGCCCUCAUAGAGGCAUGAAGACAUGCUGAGGGACAGUCAGUAAAUAUCUACACAGACAGUAGAUAUGCCUUUGAGGUAGUACAUGAUUUUGGAACAAUUUGGAAACACAGGAACUUUCUGACGAUUUCUGGAACACACAAAACCCACCACAAACUAGUCUCUGAGCUGCUGGAUGUAGUCCUACUCCCCAAAAUUAUUGCAGUAUGCAAAUGUGAUUCACACACUAACAAAUUAGACCAUGUUUCCUAGGAAAGCUCGAGCAGACAGUACAGCAAAGCAAGCAGCUGCAUCUAUGGUCCCAAAACUCAAAAGAAAAUAAUCACUCCUUUACAGCUUUCAGACCUUCAGGCACAAGCUACGGUGGAGGAAAAGGCUGUGUGGCGCAAAGCAGGCUGCAUGGUUGUUGAUGGAGUUUGCCGGUGCCCACAGGGCUGUCCUUGUCUUCAAAGUUGACGCAUGGCAGGGAUCAUAAGUCAAAAGGGGGAAUGAUAGCUGUGAUAAAGCAUUGGUUUCUCUAAUUACUCUAAAAAAAUAAUAGUAAUUGUUUACGCUGUUUGCGCAACUCAUAACGUGGUUUGAAGGUUUGAAGAUAGAGAAGGCCAUGUCCCUACGUUCAAAGAGGACUCAGAUGCGGUAGUGAUAAUGAUAAUCUCCAGUGAUGAUGGCACACCUUUUGUGAACCAUGCCCUUAAGUAGGUUAGUGAAUAUUUGGGCAUUGAUCUGAAACAACAUUGUGCAUACCAUCCGGCUAGUGGUGGGGCAGUGUAACGGGAGAAUGGAACUCUAAAGAAUAAAUUGAGUAAGUGCUGCGUUGAUACAGGUUUAGGGUGGACCAAGGUUUUACCUGUUGUAGUAAUGCAGAUGAGAAUGAGAAAGAGACGCAAGCAUGGGCUCAGUCCUUUUGAAAUCCUAUUCGGGCAGCCUCCACACACAGGAAUUGGGCCUGUGACAGUUCCUCUUCCUGAUGCAGCAACAUGUGAUGAUGCUAUGUUAAGUUACUGUGCAACCCUGUCCUCUGCUCUGCACUCUAUUCACAAGCAGGUAAAGGCAGCUCUUCCAGCUCCAGCCACGGGUCCGCUGCAUGAUCUGAAGCCCGGGGAGUGGAUCAUGAUCAAGGACUUCCACAGGAUCAGGUGGAACAAGCCACGGUGGUCUGGGCUAUUGCAGGUUCUCUUUGUCACUCAUUCAGCAGGGAAAGUCAACCAGAGAGCCACAUGGAUGCGUGAGAGCCACUGCAGGAGAGUGCCAGAGCUGAGCAAUGCGCUGGAGAAGACGGGACUUCGACAGAAGGACUAGAAAGUGAUUCUCUAUCAAGAGGCCUCUAGGAGGACCAACGCUCACGAGCAUAUAUCUGCAUAUAGACACCCACACACACGACACACUGCACUCAAACACACAUUCUCGCGCCAGUUCCUUGUGGUUACAUAACACAAGACCCCAAGUGGUAUCUAGUAGCCUGGGAAAUCACAGACAUGUAGUUUUUGGAGAAAAUGUUGACGACACGGAAACUGUACUCUUAGGAGGACUGAACUUCCAUUAGUGUGUACUAUAUAGCGACGUGUCCAGGACAGAGGUUAGAUGACGUGACUUUGCUACCGUACCUCUUACACCCCAAAGCUCCCUGACCACAGACUACUGUUGCAGACUAGACACAAAUCAUUAGAUGUCAACCUGCACAUCCACUCAUACAUUCAAACCUAUUCCUAAUCAUGUACCCUUCCCCUGGUAUAGGUGGUAUCUGUUAGUAAGCCCUGUCAUAGAAAUAAACUCACAAAUCACUGACUGUUCCCGACAACACUGGGGGUCCACACAACGUCACCUCAUCACGCAGACACAUGUUUAUUCUAUCAUUGAACAUAUGCGCUCUGCGAUAUGCAACCCUCCACAGACUAGCGAGAUGGGGUUUGAUUGGCUGAACUCAGGGGAUGGGGCUCAUGGAUAUUAACCUUUGUCUACCAAUAGGAGCAAUAAUUCUUCUUGUCUUGCUCAUUUUGUCUUGUAUUGUUUCUCUCGUUCGGCGCAUUUUGCCUUGUAUUGUUUCUCUCACUCGUUGAAAUCACUAAUGACCAAACGCUGAUGUUGACAAAGACUGAUUACUAUCCCUAUGAUGACCAACCUGACUUGUAUCCUAAACCUGACUGGGUAUCAGAUUCUCUCAGCGACACUGACGAUGAUGACCCAUUGACAUACAUUUCACACCUAUUGUAACUAUUCCCUUGACCAUGACGAUUCAUUUAUGUCCGCAGAAACAGCCUUAGCACCUUCAUUAUGUCUGUAUAAUGUUGAACAGUGAAAGGAUUCUGCAGUUCUGAUGUAUUCACAUCAUUGUAAUUUCUCUGUUAUUUUAGUUAUCAUAUUUUGUAAUGAUAAAAUGGGGGAAAUGUGAGGGAAAUUACUAAUUUUUACUUUGUAAUAAGUUUGUUCUUGUUCUGUUUCAUUUUCAUGUCAGGUUAAUGCCUAAGAAGGCCAUGUCAUGUCACUGAGAUCAGUGCAGAAUAUUUAUCUGCUUACAGAGACACAAACAUGUUCUUCUGUUCAAGGUUCGUCUAAACAGCUUCCAAGAUCCUAAAACAAAGCCUUUUUGAACUGCCUCAAACUGCUUCUUAUCGGUAUACAGAAUUAUGUCAUGCUCUGCGUUUCACAUAUAUAGUAGUGGUUUAGUACAAGGGCUUCAGAGCGCUCACAUUUUUCUAUCUUGCUUUAUUCUAUCUUGUAUUAACCAUCUUUCUGUAAUAAACCUUUUUGCCUUCA